Non-coding RNA from Rhypophila decipiens, 123 nucleotides. Lineage: Eukaryota; Fungi; Ascomycota; Sordariomycetes; Sordariales; Naviculisporaceae. The record is from the annotation of a GenBank genome assembly.
GGGUGACUAGUCUAGUGGUUAGGACGGUUCGUUGUGGCUAUGCGUGCUCUUCGACUAAUUCAGCUCGGAGGGUGCGUAUGGUUCCUCCCCGAACAAACCCCGGUUCGAUUCCGGGGUCGCCCA